This 516-nucleotide ribosomal RNA is filed under the name uncultured bacterium. RNAcentral describes it as "partial 16S ribosomal RNA". It matches the Rfam family "Bacterial small subunit ribosomal RNA", at positions 355 to 861 of the family's 1533-position model. The record is from RNAcentral.
UGGGGAAUAUUGCACAAUGGGCGCAAGCCUGAUGCAGCCAUGCCGCGUGUGUGAAGAAGGCCUUCGGGUUGUAAAGCACUUUCAGCGAGGAGGAAGGUGGUGAGCUUAAUACGCUCAUCAAUUGACGUUACUCGCAGAAGAAGCACCGGCUAACUCCGUGCCAGCAGCCGCGGUAAUACGGAGGGUGCAAGCGUUAAUCGGAAUUACUGGGCGUAAAGCGCACGCAGGCGGUUUGUUAAGUCAGAUGUGAAAUCCCCGGGCUCAACCUGGGAACUGCAUUUGAAACUGGCAAGCUAGAGUCUCGUAGAGGGGGGUAGAAUUCCAGGUGUAGCGGUGAAAUGCGUAGAGAUCUGGAGGAAUACCGGUGGCGAAGGCGGCCCCCUGGACGAAGACUGACGCUCAGGUGCGAAAGCGUGGGGCAGCAAACAGGAUUAGAUACCCUGGUAGUCCACGCUGUAAACGAUGUCGAUUUUGGAGGUUGUGCCCUUGAGGCGUGGCCUCCGGAGCUAACGCGUU